AUUGAACGCUGGCGGCAUGCCUUACACAUGCAAGUCGAACGGCAGCACGGGAGCAAUCCUGGUGGCGAGUGGCGAACGGGUGAGUAAUAUAUCGGAACGUGCCCGGUCGUGGGGGAUAACGUAGCGAAAGCUACGCUAACACCGCAUACGAUCUACGGAUGAAAGCGGGGGAUCGCAAGACCUCGCGCGAUUGGAGCGGCCGAUAUCAGAUUAGGUAGUUGGUGAGGUAAAGGCUCACCAAGCCGACGANCUGUAGCUGGUCUGAGAGGACGACCAG
This 277-nucleotide ribosomal RNA is filed under the name uncultured bacterium. RNAcentral describes it as "partial 16S ribosomal RNA". It matches the Rfam family "Bacterial small subunit ribosomal RNA", at positions 30 to 307 of the family's 1533-position model. The record is from RNAcentral.